GGGGCUGAUUUGGCGUUCGACAGGAAUAUAAAAGGCAAAGAUUGCAUACCAGUUUGAUAAUACUGCAAAAUUAUCAAUUAAAUUUAAAUGCAAACACAAAUAAACUAGCUCCAGCUUAUGCGAGAGCUGCAUAAGUUUAACUUAACUUUUAGGAGCGGGAGUAAGUAGAUAUUCUAGCGAUUUAUUUAAUCCCUAACUUUAGCUAGAUGCUUCUAUUUUGCAAUUUAGGGCAAAAUAGAUUAAGAAUUUCCUAGAUUGCUUAUAUAUUAUUUGAAGUUGUAAUGUAUAAAAAGAUUCUAACUUCGUUUUUUAAGUAUGUCGAGGUCUUUGUGGUUUGAUUUUUGGACUGGGGUUCAAUUCCCCACAGCUCCACCA
This 375-nucleotide transfer-messenger RNA is filed under the name Helicobacteraceae bacterium. It matches the Rfam family "transfer-messenger RNA". Rfam says of the family: Bacterial tmRNA, also known as 10Sa RNA or SsrA, is named for its dual tRNA and mRNA-like properties. Its role is to liberate the mRNA from a stalled ribosome. To accomplish this part of the tmRNA is used as a reading frame that ends in a translation stop signal. Lineage: Bacteria; Pseudomonadati; Campylobacterota; Epsilonproteobacteria; Campylobacterales; Helicobacteraceae. The record is from RNAcentral. RNAcentral also lists the same sequence under 1 other name.